GUUUGAGUAGCUUAAUUUUAAAGCUUAAUAUUGAAGUUAUUAUGAUAAAGACGCACUUUCUCAAAUA
RNAcentral lists this transfer RNA (67 nucleotides) under Planusocoris schaeferi. Its description in RNAcentral is "tRNA-Phe". The record is from RNAcentral. Lineage: Eukaryota; Metazoa; Arthropoda; Insecta; Hemiptera; Alydidae.